AUUACCUACGGGACGCAGCAGUAGGGAAUUUUCGUCAAUGGGCGCAAGCCUGAACGAGCGAUGCCGCGUGAGUGAAGAAGGCCUUCGGGUCGUAAAGCUCUGUUGCGGGGGAAAAAAGGCAGCAUCAGGAAAUGGGUGCUGACUGACGGUGCCCCGCCAGAAAGUCACGGCUAACUACGUGCCAGCAGCCGCGGUAAUACGUAGGUGGCGAGCGUUAUCCUGAAUGAUUGGGCGUAAAGGGCGUGUAGGCGGGAAUGCAAGUCAGAUGUGAAAAUUAU
This 278-nucleotide ribosomal RNA is filed under the name uncultured bacterium. RNAcentral describes it as "partial 16S ribosomal RNA". It matches the Rfam family "Bacterial small subunit ribosomal RNA", at positions 334 to 604 of the family's 1533-position model. The record is from RNAcentral.